Molecule: transfer RNA, 64 nt
Filed under: Anisocentropus maculatus
Lineage: Eukaryota; Metazoa; Arthropoda; Insecta; Trichoptera; Calamoceratidae
Description: tRNA-Leu
Source: RNAcentral
UCUAAUAUGGCAGAAUAAUGCAUUGAAUUUAAGCUUCAAUUAUAAAGUUUAUCUUUUUUUAGAA